RNAcentral lists this ribosomal RNA (433 nucleotides) under uncultured bacterium. RNAcentral's name for it is "partial 16S ribosomal RNA". It matches the Rfam family "Bacterial small subunit ribosomal RNA", at positions 355 to 780 of the family's 1533-position model. The record is from RNAcentral.
UAGGGAAUCUUCGGCAAUGGACGAAAGUCUGACCGAGCAACGCCGCGUGAGUGAAGAAGGUUUUCGGAUCGUAAAACUCUGUUGUUAGAGAAGAACGUUGCAUAGAGUGGAAAAUUAUGCAAGUGACGGUAUCUAACCAGAAAGGGACGGCUAACUACGUGCCAGCAGCCGCGGUAAUACGUAGGUCCCGAGCGUUGUCCGGAUUUAUUGGGCGUAAAGCGAGCGCAGGUGGUUUAAUAAGUCUGAUGUAAAAGGCAGUGGCUCAACCAUUGUGUGCAUUGGAAACUGUUAGACUUGAGUGCAGUAGAGGAGAGUGGAAUUCCAUGUGUAGCGGUGAAAUGCGUAGAUAUAUGGAGGAACACCGGUGGCGAAAGCGGCUCUCUGGACUGUCACUGACACUGAGGCUCGAAAGCGUGGGUAGCAAACAGGAUUA